GACGAACGCUGGCGGCGUGCUUAACACAUGCAAGUCGAACGGAAAGGCCCUGCUUUUGUGGGGUGCUCGAGUGGCGAACGGGUGAGUAACACUUUAGUAACCUGCCCUUGACUUUGGGAUAACUUCAGGAAACUGGGGCUCAUACCGGAUAGGAGCUCCUGCUGCAUGGUGGGGGUUGGAAAGUUUCGGCGGUUGGGGAUGGACUCGCGGCUUAUCAGCUUGUUGGUGGGGUAGUGGCUUACCAAGGCUUUGACGGGUAGCAGGCCUGAGAGGGUGACCGGCCACAUUGGGACUGAGAUACGGCCCAGACUCGUACGGGAGGCAGCAGUGGGGAAUAGUGCACAAGGGGCGGAAGGCUAAUGCAGCAACGCCGCGUGCGGGAUGAGGGGCAUCGGGUUGUAAACCGAUUUCGCCUGUGACGAAGAGUGAGUGACGGUAAUGGGUAAAGAAGCACCGGCUAACUACGUG
Molecule: ribosomal RNA, 468 nt
Filed under: uncultured bacterium
Lineage: Bacteria
Description: partial 16S ribosomal RNA
Rfam family: Bacterial small subunit ribosomal RNA
Source: RNAcentral